This 440-nucleotide ribosomal RNA is filed under the name uncultured bacterium. RNAcentral describes it as "partial 16S ribosomal RNA". It matches the Rfam family "Bacterial small subunit ribosomal RNA", at positions 338 to 795 of the family's 1533-position model. The record is from RNAcentral.
CCUACGGGAGGCAGCAGUGGGGAAUAUUGCACAAUGGAGGGAACUCUGAUGCAGCGACGCCGCGUGAGUGAAGAAGUAAUUCGUUAUGUAAAGCUCUAUCAGCAGGGAAGAAAGUGACGGUACCUGAAAAAGAAGCUCCGGCUAAAUGCGUGCCAGCAGCCGCGGUAAUACGUAUGGAGCAAGCGUUAUCCGGAUUUACUGGGUGUAAAGGGAGAGUAGGUGGCAGAGCAAGUCCGAAGUGAAAACCCAAAGCUCAACUAUGGGAAUGCUUUAGAAACUGCUCAGCUAGAGUGCAGGAGAGGCAAGGUGAAGUCUGAGGGGAGCGGGGAAAUGGGGAGAUAAUAGGAGGAACACCAGGGGCGAAGGCGGCCUGGUGGACUUGAACUGAAACUGAGGCUCGAAAGCGUGGGGAGCAAACAGGAUUAGAUACCCGAGUAGUC